GUGCUUGCUUUGGCAGCACACAUACUAAAAUUGGAAUGAUUCAGAGAAGAUUAGUGUGGCCCCUGUACAAGGAUGACAUGCAAAUUUGUGAAGCAUUCCAUAGUUUU
Molecule: small nuclear RNA, 107 nt
Filed under: Camelus dromedarius (Arabian camel)
Lineage: Eukaryota; Metazoa; Chordata; Mammalia; Artiodactyla; Camelidae
Source: RNAcentral